This 468-nucleotide ribosomal RNA is filed under the name uncultured bacterium. Its description in RNAcentral is "partial 16S ribosomal RNA". It matches the Rfam family "Bacterial small subunit ribosomal RNA", at positions 28 to 507 of the family's 1533-position model. The record is from RNAcentral.
GACGAACGCUGGCGGCGUGCUUAACACAUGCAAGUCGAACGGAAAGGCCCUGCUUUUGUGGGGUGCUCGAGUGGCGAACGGGUGAGUAACACGUGAGUAACCUGCCCUUGACUUUGGGAUAACUUCAGGAAACUGGGGCUAAUACCGGAUAGGAGCUCCUGCUGCAUGGUGGGGGUUGGAAAGUUUCGGCGGUUGGGGAUGGACUCGCGGCUUAUCAGCUUGUUGGUGGGGUAGUGGCUUACCAAGGCUUUGACGGGUAGCCGGCCUGAGAGGGUGACCGGCCCCAUUGGGACUGAGAUACGGGCCAGACUCCUACGGGAGGCAGCAGUGGGGAAUAGUGCACCAUGGGCGGAAGCCGGAUGCAGCAACGCCGCGUGCGGUAUGACGGCCUUCGGGUUGUAAACCGCUUUCGCCGGGGACGAAGAGUGAGUGACGGUAAUGGGUAAAGAAGCACCGGCUAACUACGUG